RNAcentral lists this transfer RNA (72 nucleotides) under Fulmarus glacialis (Northern fulmar). It matches the Rfam family "tRNA". Rfam says of the family: Transfer RNA (tRNA) molecules are approximately 80 nucleotides in length. Their secondary structure includes four short double-helical elements and three loops (D, anti-codon, and T loops). Lineage: Eukaryota; Metazoa; Chordata; Aves; Procellariiformes; Procellariidae. The record is from Rfam by way of RNAcentral.
GACCUUGUAGCACAAGGGCAGCACGUCUGACUCCAGAUCAGGAGGUUGUGUGGUUGAGUCACACCAGGGUAA